This is a long non-coding RNA of Phyllostomus discolor (pale spear-nosed bat), 1323 nucleotides long. RefSeq lists it as uncharacterized. The transcript is spliced from 2 exons. NCBI's taxonomy places the organism in Eukaryota, Metazoa, Chordata, Mammalia, Chiroptera, Phyllostomidae. The record is from RefSeq and is a predicted model, not a curated record.
AGAAAAUAUUGCCAUCCAUACUGACAAAAUACCUCAUUUGUUUUCAACAAAUUCCAUCUUGAGAAAUACAUGUUAAAAAAAAAAACAGUAUUUUCUAGAAAUGCACUCUCCCCUAAAGAAAGUCCCAGAUAAAUUUUGGCAGUUUAUGGGUAAAAAAAAGAGGCACUCACAUCAGGUGGUAGUUUUUUACAUCAGCGACUAUAGCUGCUGAACUUGGAAGACUGUUGUAGAGACUGUGUAAAGGAAAUACUGUGUGGUUUGUAUUCCUCUUUUUCUUUGCUAUCAAAUGGAUGAGUGUUACACUGCUGGAAAAACGGUACGAUAAAGAAUUAACAUUUGGCAAAUAACAAAACGAUGCCUUCAUUCUAAAUCUUUGGCAAUGAAAGCUGUAAUUACACAAAUCAAUCCUUCUCUUAUUCUUUGGAAUGACAGAAUAUGUAUCACAAGAGUUUGUCUACAUGUAGAGGAAUUUGUUUUACAUAUGUCUUUGCCUUGUAAAUAAAAUGGACCUCUCCUUGUGUUUUAAUUUCCUCACCUGAAAAACUGGCAAUAAAAGUAUCAACUCCAACAGAAUUAUGAAAAAUAAAUAAAAUGCAUUUAAACACAAGUAAUUUUGUUAAAAAUUUCUUUGGAAAUUAAAGGAACCUUGGAAACUUACCAUUAUUUAAAAUACCUGCUAAAUCAGUUCCCAUUAUUCUUUAAGCCCACAUAAUACCAAGAUUUUAGCCCUACAUUCUCUUGAUUUUAAGUAACUUCAAAAACUUUAGUAAUUGUGAGUUUAUUAUCUAAUUAUUUUCACAGAGGAGGGCCUAAACUAGGAACUCCUUUUCUCCAACAUCUGCAAGAUCAUGUCCAUAAAGAUAUUUUAGUAGACACCAAGCCUCUAGUAGAAACAGAAAGGGUACUACAGUUCUCAUCUACUGGCCUAACAGAUAUAAAACAUUUUCAGAGCUGCAAAAUAUUGUCCAUGGCUUCCCGUACUGUCUAUCCAUUAACUCAACACUCCUUAAAUCUUAACUAGUCAGGAGAAAGCUCAACCCAGGAAAGGCAAGACAGAAUAAAAGAGCAAAAUCACAUCUGUCCACAAACCAUCUAAUGACCCUCACAAGGUUCACUCCAGACUGAAACAUUUCAUAGGGGUAAAUGAUGCAUUCAUAAUAAGAUCUUAGCCAGGACCCAAUGUUUUUGCCUGGUGGAGGUGCUGGGCAACUCGGGCCCACUGAUGGUUCUUGCAAAUGGCUUCAAAGCCCCCUUCCUCCAUCACAAUCUAAAAGAAUUAAGAAGGAGUAGAGUUAACUGUGAGUAGAUUAUAGAUACCUAAAA